Molecule: ribosomal RNA, 253 nt
Filed under: uncultured bacterium
Lineage: Bacteria
Description: partial 16S ribosomal RNA
Rfam family: Bacterial small subunit ribosomal RNA
Source: RNAcentral
UACGUAGGGUGCAAGCGUUAAUCGGAAUUACUGGGCGUAAAGCGUGCGCAGGCGGUGAUGUAAGCCAGAUGUGAAAUCCCCGGGCUCAACCUGGGAACUGCAUUUGUGACUGCAUCGCUGGAGUACGGCAGAGGGGGAUGGAAUUCCGCGUGUAGCAGUGAAAUGCGUAGAUAUGCGGAGGAACACCGAUGGCGAAGGCAAUCCCCUGGGCCUGUACUGACGCUCAUGCACGAAAGCGUGGGGAGCAAACAGG